GAUGAACGCUGGCGGCGUGCCUAAUACAUGCAAGUCGAGCGAACGGACGAGAAGCUUGCUUCUCUGAUGUUAGCGGCGGACGGGUGAGUAACACGUGGAUAACCUACCUAUAAGACUGGGAUAACUUCGGGAAACCGGAGCUAAUACCGGAUAAUAUUUUGAACCGCAUGGUUCAAAAGUGAAAGACGGUCCUGCUGUCACUUAUAGAUGGAUCCGCGCUGCAUUAGCUAGUUGGUAAGGUAACGGCUUACCAAGGCAACGAUGCAUAGCCGACCUGAGAGGGUGAUCGGCCACACUGGAACUGAGACACGGUCCAGACUCCUACGGGAGGCAGCAGUAGGGAAUCUUCUGCAAUGGGCGAAAGCCUGACGGAGCAACGCCGCGUGAGUGAUGAAGGUCUUCGGAUCGUAAAACUCUGUUAUUAGGGAAGAACAUAUGUGUAAGUAACUGUGCACAUCUUGACGGUACCUAAUCAGAAAGCCACGGCUAACUACGUG
RNAcentral lists this ribosomal RNA (497 nucleotides) under uncultured bacterium. RNAcentral describes it as "partial 16S ribosomal RNA". It matches the Rfam family "Bacterial small subunit ribosomal RNA", at positions 28 to 507 of the family's 1533-position model. The record is from RNAcentral.